This 253-nucleotide ribosomal RNA is filed under the name uncultured bacterium. RNAcentral's name for it is "partial 16S ribosomal RNA". It matches the Rfam family "Bacterial small subunit ribosomal RNA", at positions 524 to 776 of the family's 1533-position model. The record is from RNAcentral.
UACGUAGGGGGCAAGCGUUGUCCGGAUUUAUUGGGCUUAAAGGGUGCGUAGGCGGUUUCCUAAGUCAGUUGUGAAAUUCGGCAGCUUAACUGUCGAGGUGCAAUUGAUACUGGGAAACUUGAGUACUGAUGAGGUAUGCGGAAUGGACGGUGUAGCGGUGAAAUGCUUAGAUAUCGUCCAGAACACCGAUAGCGAAGGCAGCAUACUAAGGAGUAACUGACGCUGAGGCACGAAAGUGUGGGGAUCAAACAGG